UUGUGAUUGGUGGGUUCUGCCGCGGCCGGGAAGUUCGAACAGAAGUCUGGGGAAGAGCCGGCGAAGAGCAAAGAGAUAAUACAGUACUCCCAGCUAUAGCAAGCGGCAGUUAUGGAGCAUGCGCAGCAGCAGGGGCGGCCGCAGGUCGCCGUUCAAUAAUACUCAAGGGAUUUGUACAGCCCUGUAGGAGACACCUCCAGAGAAAGUAACAGCUCUCAAUUGAUUAGCUGAGAAUAAACAGAUGCUUUUACAGCUCGCCUUGGCGGGAAGAUCUGGCACAAAUGAAGUAUCUAUAAGGAGCAGCAGAGUCAAGGUGGUGAUCCUGUGGAUGAAUAACUGAAACCUGAUAUACUUGACAGCAGAAAAUAUAAAGCAAAUUGAAAAGGAGAGAGUGUGGAGAUAAAUAAGAAAAUGAAAGAACUGAUAAAGUCACUUGGAUUAAAAAACCUGGGAGUAAGGGCUUUGUUUAUGAUUGAACUUAAGAGAGAAUUGAGGGACCACCUACCUUUGAUGUUAACGAGAAAGUAAAGAGGAAACAUAUUUAGAGAUACCCUUUGGUGAAAAACAGAAAUGGAUGUGUCAUUUGAUGCAUCACAUUAUUUAUUCAACAAACUCUUAGUGAGAACUUACUGUGUAUGAAAGACUGGACUGAAACAUAUAUAAGAAAUAAUUUUUGGCCCAAGGAAUUUAUAGUAUAAUUGAGGAAACAAAUACAAAUCACUUCUGCAAAGUAGCAGAGACACAGAUGAGGAAUUGUAAUGUUUGUAAAAUCAAAGUGGUGGGAGUAGUCAAAAAAGUGUUUACAGAAUGGUAUUCAAAAUGGGCCUGAAGGCAGAAAUCAGACUGGUUGUUACCUGGAAAACAAGGAGAGAAAGGACAAGGCAGGAGAAGAGAACAAGUACAAAGGCAUGUGGGGGUAGGAAGGCAUGGCAUGGGUAGAAAAUGCCAGUUAAAUUGACAUUGUGGGAAAAUAACGAGUUUAGCGUAUGGGGGCAUAGCAAAUAAUGACUCUGGUUUCGGCAAAACCCCAGGGGAAAGAAAAUGAGAUCCUGAACUAUGGCAGUAACAGAGGGGAGUGGGAAAAGAGGAUUAACUAGAGAAAUAUUUAGAAACUAAGAAUCUCAGGAUUUAGUACUUCUUGGGGAAGCCAUCGUGAAUGCUGGCUCUCAAGCUGCAUUAUCAACAAACAAAAAUAUUGAUACCUUAAAGUUAAAGUCCCACCCUCCUUUUAGAGACUGUAAGACAUAGUUCUAUCUUGUCUCACAUCUCUACCUCUGUUAAUCUCCAUUUGGGCCAAGCAUCCUCAACAUGCCUAUUCUCAUAUUCCUCCAAUUACAACCUCCAGGGUCUUCAUGUUGCAGAACUCACGGAGUUGGAUUCUAUGUGAAUUGUAAAUCGGGUACAAGGUGCAUAAUGCCCUAUUUACCUUUUCCUUAGCUUCCAAAUUCUUUUAUCAUGAUCUCCAAAAUGCCACCCAGCAUGUCUAACUCUGCGAUCAACAAAACACCGUAUGACCUCAACCUCUUUCCUGAGGUUUCUUGCAUUAAUGGAAGUUGCCCUGAGCUCUGAUGUCCUUGCUUCUCUUGCAGCCCUCCCACGUCGAAGCGGUUUUUUCCUUCACCUUUUUUUUAAGUAUUUUAAAAUUUAUUUUCAUGCCUUUAACACCUUAUGAAUUUGUGUGAAUCAUUCAAGAUUACAUCUGCCUUCCUUUCAAACUAGCUAUGAGAUAUUUGAUUCACCUUGACAAACUGUUCAUUCUACACAACUGGCAAUCUCCACAGUUCAUUCUCUCAGUUGGGUUGAUUCCAACCUCCUCAGAAAAGGGUAUCAAUGGAAUAAGGGUUUUUAAUUUUUAACUUUUUUUUCUUUUUUUUUGAGACAGAGUCUCACUCU
RNAcentral lists this long non-coding RNA (1893 nucleotides) under Homo sapiens (human). RNAcentral describes it as "HSALNT0308233". The record is from RNAcentral. Lineage: Eukaryota; Metazoa; Chordata; Mammalia; Primates; Hominidae.